This 23-nucleotide non-coding RNA is filed under the name Arabidopsis thaliana (thale cress). The record is from RNAcentral. Lineage: Eukaryota; Viridiplantae; Streptophyta; Magnoliopsida; Brassicales; Brassicaceae.
CCAUAUGUUUCGUCCUAAUUGGU